UGGGGAAUUUUGGACAAUGGGCGAAAGCCUGAUCCAGCAAUGCCGCGUGUGUGAAGAAGGCCUUCGGGUUGUAAAGCACUUUUGUCCGGAAAGAAAUCCUUGGCUCUAAUACAGUCGGGGGAUGACGGUACCGGAAGAAUAAGCACCGGCUAACUACGUGCCAGCAGCCGCGGUAAUACGUAGGGUGCAAGCGUUAAUCGGAAUUACUGGGCGUAAAGCGUGCGCAGGCGGUUUGCUAAGACCGAUGUGAAAUCCCCGGGCUCAACCUGGGAACUGCAUUGGUGACUGGCAGGCUAGAGUAUGGCAGAGGGGGGUAGAAUUCCACGUGUAGCAGUGAAAUGCGUAGAGAUGUGGAGGAAUACCGAUGGCGAAGGCAGCCCCCUGGGCCAAUACUGACGCUCAUGCACGAAAAGCGUGGGGGAGCAAAACAGGAUUAGAUACCCCUGGUAGUCCACGCCCUAAAACGAUGUCAACUAGUUGUUGGGGAUUCAUUUCCUUAGUAACGUAGCUAACGCGUGAAGUUGACCGCCUGGGGAGUACGGUCGCAAGAUU
This 552-nucleotide ribosomal RNA is filed under the name uncultured bacterium. RNAcentral describes it as "partial 16S ribosomal RNA". It matches the Rfam family "Bacterial small subunit ribosomal RNA", at positions 355 to 895 of the family's 1533-position model. The record is from RNAcentral.